RNAcentral lists this ribosomal RNA (433 nucleotides) under uncultured bacterium. Its description in RNAcentral is "partial 16S ribosomal RNA". It matches the Rfam family "Bacterial small subunit ribosomal RNA", at positions 29 to 507 of the family's 1533-position model. The record is from RNAcentral.
AACGAACGCUGGCGGCAUGCCUAACACAUGCAAGUCGAACGAGACCUUCGGGUUUAGUGGCGCACGGGUGCGUAACGCGUGGGAACCUGCCCUUAGGUUCGGAAUAACUCCCCGAAAGGGGUGCUAAUACCGGAUAAUGUCUUCGGACCAAAGAUUUAUCGCCUUUGGAUGGGCCCGCGUUGGAUUAGCUAGUUGGUAGGGUAAAAGCCUACCAAGGCGACGAUCCAUAGCUGGUCUGAGAGGAUGAUCAGCCACACUGGGACUGAGACACGGCCCCGACUCCUACGGGAGGCAGCAGUGGGGAAUAUAGGACAAUGGGCGAAAGCCUGAUCCAGCAAUGCCGCGUGAGUGAUGAAGGCCUUAGGGUUGUAAAGCUCUUUUACCCGAGAUGAUAAUGACAGUACCGGGAGAAUAAGCACCGGCUAACUCCGUG